This 980-nucleotide ribosomal RNA is filed under the name uncultured bacterium. RNAcentral describes it as "bacterial SSU rRNA". It matches the Rfam family "Bacterial small subunit ribosomal RNA", at positions 8 to 988 of the family's 1533-position model. The record is from RNAcentral.
AGAGUUUGAUCCUGGCUCAGGAUGAACGCUGGCGGCGUGCUUAACACAUGCAAGUCGAACGAAGCGCUCAAGUUGAUUCCUUCGGGAUGAUUCUUAAGUGACUUAGUGGCGGACGGGUGAGUAACGCGUGGGUAACCUGCCGUAAACAGGGGGACAACAGUUGGAAACGACUGCUAAUACCGCAUAAGCGCACAGCACCGCAUGGUGCAGUGUGAAAAGCCGAGACGGUUUACGAUGGACCCGCGUUGGAUUAGGCAGUUGGCGGGGUAACGGCCCACCAAACCGACGAUCCAUAGCCGACCUGAGAGGGUGACCGGCCACAUUGGGACUGAGACACGGCCCAAACUCCUACGGGAGGCAGCAGUGGGGAAUAUUGCACAAUGGGAGAAAUCCUGAUGCAGCGACGCCGCGUGAGUGAAGAAGUAUUUCGGUAUGUAAAGCUCUAUCAGCAGGGAAGAAAAUGACGGUACCUGACUAAGAAGCCCCGGCUAACUACGUGCCAGCAGCCGCGGUAAUACGUAGGGGGCAAGCGUUAUCCGGAUUUACUGGGUGUAAAGGGAGCGUAGACGGCGGUGCAAGUCUGAUGUGAAAUGCGGGGGCUCAACUCCUGGACUGCAUUGGAAACUGUACUGCUUGAGUGCCGGAGAGGUAAGCGGAAUUCCUAGUGUAGCGGUGAAAUGCGUAGAUAUUAGGAGGAACACCAGUGGCGAAGGCGGCUUACUGGACGGUAACUGACGUUGAGGCUCGAAAGCGUGGGGAGCAAACAGGAUUAGAUACCCUGGUAGUCCACGCGGUAAACGAUGAAUACUAGGUAUUGGGCAGCAUGGCUGUUCGGUGCCGGCGCUAACGCAAUAAGUAUUCCACCUGGGGAGUACGUUCGCAAGAAUGAAACUCAAAGGAAUUGACGGGGACCCGCACAAGCGGUGGAGUAUGUGGUUUAAUUCGACGCAACGCAAAGAACCUUACCAGGCCUUGACAUC